This 908-nucleotide ribosomal RNA is filed under the name uncultured bacterium. RNAcentral describes it as "bacterial SSU rRNA". It matches the Rfam family "Bacterial small subunit ribosomal RNA", at positions 53 to 951 of the family's 1533-position model. The record is from RNAcentral.
ACAUGCAAGUCGAGGGGAAACGACAUCGAAAGCUUGCUUUUGAUGGGCGUCGACCGGCGCACGGGUGAGUAACGCGUAUCCAACCUGCCCACCACUUGGGGAUAACCUUGCGAAAGUAAGACUAAUACCCAAUGAUAUCCCUAGAAGACAUCUGAAAGAGAUUAAAGAUUUAUCGGUGAUGGAUGGGGAUGCGUCUGAUUAGCUUGUUGGCGGGGUAACGGUCCACCAAGGCGACGAUCAGUAGGGGUUCUGAGAGGAAGGUCCCCCACAUUGGAACUGAGACACGGUCCAAACUCCUACGGGAGGCAGCAGUGAGGAAUAUUGGUCAAUGGACGAGAGUCUGAACCAGCCAAGUAGCGUGCAGGAAGACGGCCCUAUGGGUUGUAAACUGCUUUUAUAAGGGAAUAAAGUGAGUCUCGUGAGACUUUUUGCAUGUACCUUAUGAAUAAGGACCGGCUAAUUCCGUGCCAGCAGCCGCGGUAAUACGGAAGGUCCGGGCGUUAUCCGGAUUUAUUGGGUUUAAAGGGAGCGUAGGCCGGAGAUUAAGCGUGUUGUGAAAUGUAGACGCUCAACGUCUGCACUGCAGCGCGAACUGGUCUUCUUGAGUACGCACAACGUGGGCGGAAUUCGUGGUGUAGCGGUGAAAUGCUUAGAUAUCACGAAGAACUCCGAUUGCGAAGGCAGCUCACGGGAGCGCAACUGACGCUGAAGCUCGAAAGUGCGGGUAUCGAACAGGAUUAGAUACCCUGGUAGUCCGCACGGUAAACGAUGGAUGCCCGCUGUUGGCCUGAAUAGGUCAGCGGCCAAGCGAAAGCAUUAAGCAUCCCACCUGGGGAGUACGCCGGCAACGGUGAAACUCAAAGGAAUUGACGGGGGCCCGCACAAGCGGAGGAACAUGUGGUUUAAUU